Molecule: small nuclear RNA, 105 nt
Organism: Trichosurus vulpecula (common brushtail)
Lineage: Eukaryota; Metazoa; Chordata; Mammalia; Diprotodontia; Phalangeridae
Source: RefSeq, a predicted model, not a curated record
GUGCGCUUUGGCAGCACAUAAACUAAUAUUGAAAUGAUAAAGAGAAGAUUAGCAUGGCCCCUGUGCAAGGAUGACAUGCAAAUUCGUGAAGGGUUCCAUAUUUUU